GACGGAAGGUGCAAGCGUUGCUCGGAAUCACUGGGCGUAAAGGGUGCGUAGGCGGCCGUGCAAGUCUGGCGUGAAAGCCCCGGGCUCAGCCCGGGAAGUGCGCUCGAAAACUGCGCGGCUCGAGUGCCGGAGGGGAGAGUGGAAUUCCUGGUGUAGCGGUGAAAUGCGCAGAUAUCAGGAGGAACACCGGUGGCGAAGGCGGUUCUCUGGGCAUUACCUGACGCUGAGGAGCGAAAGUGUGGGGAGCGAACAGG
Molecule: ribosomal RNA, 254 nt
Filed under: uncultured bacterium
Lineage: Bacteria
Description: partial 16S ribosomal RNA
Rfam family: Bacterial small subunit ribosomal RNA
Source: RNAcentral